This 253-nucleotide ribosomal RNA is filed under the name uncultured bacterium. Its description in RNAcentral is "partial 16S ribosomal RNA". It matches the Rfam family "Bacterial small subunit ribosomal RNA", at positions 524 to 776 of the family's 1533-position model. The record is from RNAcentral.
UACAGAGGUCUCAAGCGUUGUUCGGAUUCAUUGGGCGUAAAGGGUGCGUAGGCGGCGCGGUAAGUCGGGUGUGAAAUCUCGGGGCUUAACUCCGAAACUGCAUUCGAUACUGCCGUGCUUGAGGACUGGAGAGGAGACUGGAAUUUACGGUGUAGCGGUGAAAUGCGUAGAUAUCGUAAGGAACACCAGUGGCGAAGGCGGCUCACUGGACCGGAACUGACGCUGAGGCGCGAAAGCGUGGGGAGCAAACGGG